This 253-nucleotide ribosomal RNA is filed under the name uncultured bacterium. Its description in RNAcentral is "partial 16S ribosomal RNA". It matches the Rfam family "Bacterial small subunit ribosomal RNA", at positions 524 to 776 of the family's 1533-position model. The record is from RNAcentral.
UACGAAGGGUGCAAACGUUGCUCGGAAUCAUUGGGCGUAAAGCGCACGUAGGCGGCUUCGCAAGUCGGAUGUGAAAUCCCUCGGCUCAACCGAGGACGUGCAUCCGAAACUGCGGAGCUUGAGUGCUGAAGAGGAUCGCGGAAUUCCCGGUGUAGAGGUGAAAUUCGUAGAUAUCGGGAGGAACACCAGUGGCGAAGGCGGCGAUCUGGGCAGAUACUGACGCUGAGGCGCGAAAGCGUGGGGAGCGAACAGG